This is a non-coding RNA of Arabidopsis thaliana (thale cress), 124 nucleotides long. RefSeq annotates it as microRNA ath-MIR405b precursor. The record is from RefSeq. Lineage: Eukaryota; Viridiplantae; Streptophyta; Magnoliopsida; Brassicales; Brassicaceae. The transcript has a single exon.
UUAACCCAUUUAACAAUUCAACCCAUCAAAUGAAAUGAGUUAUGGGUUAGACCCAACUCAUUUAACAAAAUGAGUUGGGUCUAACCCAUAACUCAUUUAAUUAUAAACUCAUUUGAUUAUGAGU